UACAGAGGGUGCGAGCGUUGUCCGAAAUCACUGGGCGUAAAGGGCGCGUAGGUGGCGACCCAAGUCUGUGGUGAAAGCUCGCCGCUCAACGGCGCGUCGGCCACGGAUACUGGGUUGCUCGAGCACUGUAGAGGCAGAUGGAAUUCCGGGUGUAGCGGUGGAAUGCGUAGAGAUCCGGAAGAACACCGGUGGCGAAGGCGGUCUGCUGGGCAGUAGCUGACACUGAGGCGCGACAGCGUGGGGAGCAAACAGG
This 253-nucleotide ribosomal RNA is filed under the name uncultured bacterium. RNAcentral's name for it is "partial 16S ribosomal RNA". It matches the Rfam family "Bacterial small subunit ribosomal RNA", at positions 524 to 776 of the family's 1533-position model. The record is from RNAcentral.